GAUGAACGCUGGCGGCGUGCCUAAUACAUGCAAGUCGAGCGACAACACGAGGAGCUCUUUCCCCUGCCGUUAGCGGCGGACGGGCGAGUAAGACGUGGAUAACCAUCUACUUAGACUGGGAUGAUAUCGGAGAACCGCUGCUACUACUAGAUCAUACAUUCAACCGCUUGGAUCAAUAGUGAUUGACGCCUUUGGCGUCUCAUUUAGCUGGUUUCGGGCUGGAUUAGCUGGUUGGUAAGGUAACGGCUUACCAAGGCAACGAUGCGUAGCCGACCUGAGAGGGUGAUCAGCCACACUGGAACUGAGACACGGUCCAGACUCCUACGGGAGGCAGCAGUAGGGAAUCUUCCGCAAUGGGCGAAAGCCUGACGCAGCAACACCGCGUGAGUGAUGAAGGUCUUCGGAUCGUAAAACUCUGUUAUUAGGGAAGAACAAAUGUGUAAGUAACUAUGCACGUCUUGACGGUACCUAAUCAGAAAGCCACGGCUAACUACGUG
RNAcentral lists this ribosomal RNA (497 nucleotides) under uncultured bacterium. Its description in RNAcentral is "partial 16S ribosomal RNA". It matches the Rfam family "Bacterial small subunit ribosomal RNA", at positions 28 to 507 of the family's 1533-position model. The record is from RNAcentral.